UACGAAGGGUGCAAGCGUUACUCGGAAUUACUGGGCGUAAAGCGUGCGUAGGUGGUUCGUUAAGUCUGAUGUGAAAGCCCUGGGCUCAACCUGGGAAUUGCAUUGGAUACUGGCGGGCUAGAGUACGGUAGAGGGUGGCGGAAUUCCUGGUGUAGCAGUGAAAUGCGUAGAUAUCAGGAGGAACAUCCGUGGCGAAGGCGGCCACCUGGACCAGUACUGACACUGAGGCACGAAAGCGUGGGGAGCAAACAGGAUUAGAUACCCG
RNAcentral lists this ribosomal RNA (265 nucleotides) under uncultured prokaryote. RNAcentral describes it as "partial 16S ribosomal RNA". It matches the Rfam family "Bacterial small subunit ribosomal RNA", at positions 524 to 788 of the family's 1533-position model. The record is from RNAcentral.